Pelobates cultripes (western spadefoot toad) is the source of this 226-nucleotide non-coding RNA. NCBI's taxonomy places the organism in Eukaryota, Metazoa, Chordata, Amphibia, Anura, Pelobatidae. The record is from the annotation of a GenBank genome assembly.
CAGAAAUUGCAUUGUGGAAAUGUUUCCUAAUGUUGGUCUACCCAUCUUACUGAGAGGAGGAAAAGAAAAGCCAAUUUACUGGCCAGCCAGACUCAGACUAUAGGUAAACAUUACACAGUUAAUGGGGAGACCAUUAAUAGGAAUCAUAUAGAUAAAGGUUAUAAAGAUAACAUAAUUUUUUAGAGUAAUUUAACCUGUUACCUAUCAACUAUAGAAUGCAAGCUCG